RNAcentral lists this ribosomal RNA (301 nucleotides) under uncultured bacterium. RNAcentral describes it as "partial 16S ribosomal RNA". It matches the Rfam family "Bacterial small subunit ribosomal RNA", at positions 509 to 809 of the family's 1533-position model. The record is from RNAcentral.
CAGUCGCCGCGGGAAUACAGAGGGUGCGAGCGUUAAUCGGAUUUACUGGGCGUAAAGCGUGCGUAGGCGGCUAAUUGAGUCGGAUGUGAAAUCCCCGAGCUUAACUUGGGAAUUGCAUUCGAUACUGGUUAGCUAGAGUGUGGGAGAGGAUGGUAGAAUUCCAGGUGUAGCGGUGAAAUGCGUAGAGAUCUGGAGGAAUUCCGAUGGCGAAGGCAGCCAUCUGGCCUAAUACUGACGCUGAGGUACGAAAGCAUGGGGAGCAAACAGGAUUAGAUACCCCCGUAGUCCCUGUCUCUUAUAA